Molecule: microRNA precursor, 84 nt
Filed under: Cavia porcellus (domestic guinea pig)
Lineage: Eukaryota; Metazoa; Chordata; Mammalia; Rodentia; Caviidae
Also listed under: 3 other names
Description: mir-143 microRNA precursor family
Rfam family: mir-143 microRNA precursor family
Source: Rfam by way of RNAcentral
UGUCCCCCAGCCUGAGGUGCAGUGCUGCAUCUCUGGUCAGUUGGGAGUCUGAGAUGAAGCACUGUAGCUCAGGAAGGGAGAAGU